AUUGUAAGGCUUAUAUAAUCGAUUAUAUAGGUCCAGAUUUAAAAGACAUGUUUAAAAAUCAUUUUGGCUAAAAUGUAAAUCAUUUUGUUUUAAAUCAAGGAUGCAUGUUUUGAUGAAAAAUGAUUUUACAAGAGAAGCCAAGUCUUGAAUCAAUUGUCGGAUCAAGAGCACAAAUAUAAAUAUGACUCAACCAAGUCUUCAAUUAUUUUCUUCUCUUGAUCUUGUCUUGACCUUCUUGUUUUCGUUCUCCAAUUUUGGUCCGUUGUUUCCAUUUGCAUAUCAUGUCUACAAAACAAAUAUGCUUUAGUAUAAAUAAAAGUAUAUCUCAAUAAUAACUUACAAUCAUUUGGCAUGUAUAAUAUUUUCCAUCUUCAUCGGUUUGUCAUUUAUCAAAACCUACAAAUAUGAACACAUUAGUUUUAACAACAUAAUAAAUGUGACCUAACAGAGCCAAGACAACUGGCCAUGUGCUAUAUGAGAUAGACUUAGACUUGAAUGGAUUAAAUCCAUCUGAAGCCAAUCCAAGACUAACAUUUCGAGGAUCUUGAGAAAAAUCUUGAUGCGAUUCAUCAAAUUUUCUCCAAGCAAUACUAUCAGCAGGAUGCCGUAUUACCCCGUCUUUUAUGCAACCUUCCGCAUGCCAUCUCAUAUUAGUAGAUGUUUUAGAUGACAUGAAUAACCUUUGAAGCCUCGGUAUCAAUGGAAAGUAAAUAAAUACCUUUGCCGAAAUUUUUGAGGUUUCCAAACUACCAGAUUCACCUACAAAUUGUUUGUAUCUUGGAGCUUUGCAAAACUUACAAUCAGUUCGAUCUUUUGUCUCACUCUAAUAGAUCAUACAAUCAUUUGGACAUACAUGUAUUUUUUUGUAUUCGAAUCUUUAAUAAUUUUUUUGCAUCAUUAAAGGACUUAGGUAAUGUUUCACCUUGAGGAAAUACAUCCUUUAACAACUCUAACAACAUGGAAAAUGAAUUGUUACUCCACCCAUUGAGACACUUUAAAUGUAAUAGACGAACAAGAAAAGAAAGAAGUGAAUAUCUGCUUCCAGGAUAUAAUUCAUGCUCAGCUUCUUUCAAUAAGUUAAAAAACUUUUUAGUUUUCUUAUCAAAUCCCACAUUAUGUUGAUUAUACCCAUCAAAACUAUCACCACGAGUGUCCAUAUUAAUAAAGUCACUAGUAGGAGGAACUCCAAAAGCAUCAUGCACCAAGUUUUUUAUUUCAUCACCUAUAUCUAAUCUAUCCACGGACAUUUGAUGAAGAUGAUGUCUCACCAUGAAAAAUCCAAUUAACAUAAUUAGGUAGAAACCCAUCAACCACAAUAUGUUCAAUAAUCAACUCUUUCGGGAUAAAUUUCUUACUACGACAUUUCCGACAUGGACACAAGAUUUCAGAUGCAUUACGCCUAUCUAAUGAGGCAAAUGGAGAAAAUUUUUUGGCUCCAUUCUCAUAUAGAGGAUCAUUCCUAUUCAAUAUAUUUAUCCAACACUUAUCCAUUAAGAAUAACCUAUUCAUAUAGCAAAAAAAUCAACUAUAAAAGAGUACCUAUAGAUAGAACUAAAAAAUCAUAUCACAGAAUACCAAUAUAUAUUAUAAUUUAUACAAUUUACUAAUGACUAUACAAAUGUAUUCACUCAGAGCGUGGAAAAAAUAUAUCUAGUUUUUUAUUUUUUUCAAGUGAAUCUUACAAAGUAAUAUUCGCCAAAUACUAAAUUACAUUUCACUCUCUUAAAGAAUAUUCAGGAACUUCCUGAAACUAACACCUAUACCAAGCAUUUGAAGACAUUUUUGCAGGCACAAAUAUAAGUCAAAAAAAAUUGGCUUGCUUCUCUCUGCAACAUUUGACCAACAUAAACAGUGGAUGCACAUUUACCAAAUCAUACCCGAGUCUAUUAUACAACUUAAGACUUGAUUUUAUAUGACAAAAAACUUAUAUCCAAUUUUAUAAAUGUACCAAACAACAAACACCCAGAAACACACCAAAAAAAUCAAAAUCAAUCUACAAAUCAAUACCUAAAAGAGAAAAUUGUUAAUUCAAAUCUGAAUAACUAAGAAAAAUAAAGAAGUUUGUUAACCCAAAUCCGAACAACUAAGAAAACUGUCAACUAAAGUGGGUACCUUCAAUUUGUAAAAAAUAACCUUUGUGAGCAAAAGCCUCAGAGAUUUUCAUCUCCAAGUAUCUAUUAUAGCACAGUGGAAUGCAAAAAAUUAGGUUUUUGGUAGAAUUCUAACUAAGGAAGGAAAACUAUAUUUUUUAGAAUUGGGAGGAGGGAAGCAAAAUUCUUACCGCCAAAAUAUUUUCCUUCUUAAUCUCCAAUACUCUCCAUACAUAGCUCCUUUUGAGUCUUGGGGUGGAGGGAGCGUACUUGAGAAAUUGAUUUUAGAUUGAGAGAAGAGAGGGGAAUGGGUAUUGAGGUGUACGGCUUUCUCAAGUUUGGACUCUUGUUAUACUUAGUUUCAUGUAUAUUUUAAAAAGCGAGGACGUGGGCAUUUCACUUAAUAUCGGAGGAGGCGUUAGCCUCAUGAAUCUUUAAA
Molecule: long non-coding RNA, 2529 nt
Filed under: Nicotiana benthamiana
Lineage: Eukaryota; Viridiplantae; Streptophyta; Magnoliopsida; Solanales; Solanaceae
Description: long non-coding RNA (NBEN_LNC016379)
Source: RNAcentral